CCUUCGAUAGCUCAGUUGGUAGAGCGGUGGACUGUAGUUGGAAAACAAUCAAUAGAUAUCCAUAGGUCGCUGGUUCAAAUCCGGCUCGAAGGA
Molecule: transfer RNA, 93 nt
Filed under: Drosophila sechellia
Lineage: Eukaryota; Metazoa; Arthropoda; Insecta; Diptera; Drosophilidae
Rfam family: tRNA
About the family: Transfer RNA (tRNA) molecules are approximately 80 nucleotides in length. Their secondary structure includes four short double-helical elements and three loops (D, anti-codon, and T loops). Further hydrogen bonds mediate the characteristic L-shaped molecular structure. tRNAs have two regions of fundamental functional importance: the anti-codon, which is responsible for specific mRNA codon recognition, and the 3' end, to which the tRNAs corresponding amino acid is attached (by aminoacyl-tRNA synthetases). tRNAs cope with the degeneracy of the genetic code in two manners: having more than one tRNA (with a specific anti-codon) for a particular amino acid; and 'wobble' base-pairing, i.e. permitting non-standard base-pairing at the 3rd anti-codon position.
Source: Rfam by way of RNAcentral